GAACUCACGGUCGGGAGAAAGGGAUAUAAACCAUUGCACGAUGGCUGUUAGGCGCGUCCACCUGGUUGGGGUGCAUGGUCUUGCAAGAAUGUAAUAAAGAGUGCUUCACACCGCAUCCUGUCUGAGCCAUUGAUAAUUGGUAACUGGGCGUUUCUCACAAUUGCAAACCAGGCUUUGCUUCACCCGCC
Athene cunicularia (burrowing owl) is the source of this 188-nucleotide long non-coding RNA. RefSeq lists it as uncharacterized. The record is from RefSeq and is a predicted model, not a curated record. The transcript has 3 exons. NCBI's taxonomy places the organism in Eukaryota, Metazoa, Chordata, Aves, Strigiformes, Strigidae.